CCUACGGGAGGCAGCAGUGAGGAAUAUUGGUCAAUGGGCGGGAGCCUGAACCAGCCAAGUCGCGUGAGGGAAGACGGUCCUAUGGAUUGUAAACCUCUUUAGGCGGGGAGCAAUGCCGGGCACGCGUGCCCGGAGGGAGAGUACCCGCAGAAUAAGCAUCGGCUAACUCCGUGACAGCAGCCGCGGUAAUACGGGGGAUGCGAGCGUUAUCCGGAUUUAUUGGGUUUAAAGGGUGCGUGGGCGGAUUUUUAAGUCAGCGGUAAAAUGUCCGGGCUCAACCCGGGCCGGCCGUUGAAACGGGGGCUCUGGAGUGGGCGAGAGGUAGGCGGAAGGCGUGGUGUAGCGGGGAAAUGCAUAGAUAUCACGCAGAACUACGAUUGCGAAGGCAGCAUACCGGCGCCCGACUGACGCUGAGGCACGAAAGCGUGGGGAUCGAACAGGAUUAGAUACCCCAGUAGUC
Molecule: ribosomal RNA, 460 nt
Filed under: uncultured bacterium
Lineage: Bacteria
Description: partial 16S ribosomal RNA
Rfam family: Bacterial small subunit ribosomal RNA
Source: RNAcentral